Molecule: ribosomal RNA, 497 nt
Filed under: uncultured bacterium
Lineage: Bacteria
Description: partial 16S ribosomal RNA
Rfam family: Bacterial small subunit ribosomal RNA
Source: RNAcentral
GAUGAACGCUGGCGGCGUGCCUAAUACAUGCAAGUCGAGCGAACAGACGAGGAGCUUGCUCCUUCGACGUUAGCGGCGGACGGGUGAGUAACACGUAGGUAACCUACCUAUAAGACUGGGAUAACUUCGGGAAACCGGAGCUAAUACCGGAUAAUAUUUCGAACCGCAUGGUUCGAUAGUGAAAGAUGGCUUUGCUAUCACUUAUAGAUGGACCUGCGCCGUAUUAGCUAGUUGGUAAGGUAACGGCUUACCAAGGCAACGAUACGUAGCCGACCUGAGAGGGUGAUCGGCCACACUGGAACUGAGACACGGUCCAGACUCCUACGGGAGGCAGCAGUAGGGAAUCUUCCGCAAUGGGCGAAAGCCUGACGGAGCAACGCCGCGUGAGUGAUGAAGGUCUUCGGAUCGUAAAACUCUGUUAUUAGGGAAGAACAAACGUGUAAGUAACUGUUCACGUCUUGACGGUACCUAAUCAGAAAGCCACGGCUAACUACGUG